GCGGCACCCGAAACGGUCGCCGGAGCAGCGUCCCCGGAUGCCGCUCCGGAGGAAAGUCCGGACACCACAAGGCAGCGUGCCGCGUGAUGAACGCGGGCGGCGGAGGGCGAAAGCCACCACCGACGGAAAGUGUCACAGAAAACAAACCGCCUCCCCGCCGCAAGGUUGGGGGGCAAGGGUGAAAAGGCGGGGUAAGAGCCCACCGCCCCGCGCCGCAAGGCCGGGGGCACGAAAAACCCCGCGCGGUGCAAGACAAACAGGGAAAACAGGCCGCCUGCCUGACCCCGGCGGCUCCGGCCGCAGGGAUAAUCCCGGGUUGGUCGCACCCGGCCGCAAGGCCGGGAAGCCAGGCUGCGAAGCCGGGCUUAGAGGAAUGGCCGUUGAUCCGCCGGGCGACCGGCGGGGGACAGAAUCCGGCUUAUGAAGGUGCCGCCACC
This 437-nucleotide RNase P RNA is filed under the name Verrucomicrobiaceae bacterium. RNAcentral's name for it is "Bacterial RNase P class A". It matches the Rfam family "Bacterial RNase P class A". From Rfam's summary of the family: Ribonuclease P (RNase P) is a ubiquitous endoribonuclease, found in archaea, bacteria and eukarya as well as chloroplasts and mitochondria. The record is from Rfam by way of RNAcentral. Lineage: Bacteria; Pseudomonadati; Verrucomicrobiota; Verrucomicrobiia; Verrucomicrobiales; Verrucomicrobiaceae.